GGACCCGCACAAGCAGCGGAGCAUGUGGUUUAAUUCGAAGCAACGCGAAGAACCUUACCAGGUCUUGACAUCCUUCGACCGGUAUAGAGAUAUACAAUUUCCUUCGGGAACGAAGAGACAGGUGGUGCAUGGUUGUCGUCAGCUCGUGUCGUGAGAUGUUGGGUUAAGUCCCGCAACGAGCGCAACCCCUGUUGUUAGUUGCCAUCAUUAAGUUGGGCACUCUAACGAGACUGCCGUAGACAAUACGGAGGAAGGUGGGGAUGACGUCAAAUCAUCAUGCCCCUUAUGACCUGGGCUACACACGUGCUACAAUGGUCUGAACAAAGGGAAGCGAAGCGGCAACGUGAAGCGAAUCCCAAGAAAACAGAUCCCAGUUCGGAUUGCAGGCUGAACUCGCCUGCAUGAAGUUGGAGUUGCUAGUAAUCGCGAAUCAGCAUGUCG
RNAcentral lists this ribosomal RNA (441 nucleotides) under uncultured Bacillota bacterium. Its description in RNAcentral is "bacterial SSU rRNA". It matches the Rfam family "Bacterial small subunit ribosomal RNA", at positions 917 to 1359 of the family's 1533-position model. Lineage: Bacteria; Bacillati; Bacillota. The record is from RNAcentral.